AUGCAGAGAUCUCUCGCUGUUGGCAUUAAGUCUGAGAACAAUGGCAAGCGGGAUUACACUGGAACUGGUACUGUUCCAUCCUUGCAUAAGCAAGAUAGCAAGAUACUGACCAAAAAGACCAUAAAGUUGUUGGAUGCACCACCUUGUCCAAAAAGGCCAAAGCUAGAGCCAACUCAAACCACUAGAGGUGCUGAAGUUAAGGGCCAUGAAUCGCUGCCACAUAAGAUUGUUCCUGAAAUGGUACGAUGCACAGCAUCUGAAAAAUCUGGGUUGCUAAAGCAGAGGCGCAUUUCUGAUGCGAAGAGAAUUGACAAGAAGAAUGCUAGGUCUGGUGUCAGAUCUAAAUAUGAUUGUUUCACAUUAAAGUCUGGUUUAGGAAAUCAUGAUUCCAGUUUCGUGGGAAAUGGCAUGCUUGGGGCACAUGGCCUGAAAUCUGAUAUCCGUGACAUCACGAAUCACAUUGAGAACCUGACAUUGAGCGAACUUCUCGAUGGCACUUACAAAUAUUCCAGCUUAGGAAGAGAAAAAGGAAAGAAGGUACUGCACACAAAAGAUGAACUCCUAGUCUCUGUCAGAAAAGCUUUUUUUAUGCUAUCUGACAUGGACAGUAGUCCUGGAAAAGAUGGUAAUUUGACUCCUAGUCCUAGGCUGCAUUCAGCAACCACCUCAAGCUCUGAUAUCAAAGAUCAGUGUAGUGACAAACCGUCCUCUUUGAUUAAGGAUCCUUUACAAACUGAGGUCUGCAAUGUUUGCCCAAAGGACAUCCUAAGCCGUUUAACACUUCCCCAAGGACAUGAUCUUGAUUCUCUUUUAUCAGCUGGAAGCGAGAGCUCAGCUACAGGGCCUUCCAUGACAACUCAUGGAGCUAGUUUGCCACCAUUUACUUGGUCACACUCACAAGCUGGGGUUUACCGACCGAGCGUUGACUCUGGUAAACAUGGGUCAAGUAGGAGUAACUCCCAUUGGCAGUGGUUGAGAGUUGGAUCAUAUCCAACCGCUCAGGAUUACGAAGAUUUACCUGUCCAUCAAAUUGAUGAUCUUCUUCAGGAAAUGGAUAUGGCAAAGUCAUCUAUCAUUGAUUCAUGUAGCAGACAAUCUAAUUUAUGCUGCACGGAAUCAACUUCUGGAUCCCUCGGACAAACUAUUUACUCAAGAAAAACUGAAAGCGAGCAUGGUCCGCAGCAACUGCAUCCACUAGACCAUGUGGGCUCCUCAGAUAGCUUCCGGAGGAAUGACAGUGAACGUUCUCUUCUGAAAGCAUGUCAAGCAUCACGGAAGAUAUUGUGCGCAGCUGAGACCCUAUGUGAUAUGAGAAGAAGCACGGAAGGGUGGAGUCCCCAAGUAUAUAGCAAUGGGACAAUAAAUUUGCCAAAGUCACCUCCUGAUAAGGUGAAAGCCCGUAAGCCGUCAUCACCGUUUGGUACAGCUGAGAGCUCCUCGGGCUCUCGGAAUAGUGAUCCAGCUCGCAGCGGAAACCAUUCUACCAAGAAAGUGGUCGAUAGGAAGAACGAUUCUGCUGCGUGCAUGAGCAAUCCAGGGAAAGGGCUUAUUAGGUGGCCUGUUCCUAUUGAAGAUGCUGUAUCUCCUGUCAAACCCGAGAAGGGCCUUAUGCUUGAUAUGAGACAAAACCACAGCAAUGCCGCAAGGCAUCCGAUUCAUGUAUCGUCUCAGGCACGGCUUGAGAAGGAAUACGAGAACCAGCAGAAACUGAGGAAAGCAACAUUGGCCUCGUCUCUAGGAUCGGGAGACUGGAAUAAGGAGAGGAACAGGAGAUUGUGA
This 1779-nucleotide ribosomal RNA is filed under the name Triticum aestivum (bread wheat). RNAcentral describes it as "partial small subunit ribosomal RNA". The record is from RNAcentral. Lineage: Eukaryota; Viridiplantae; Streptophyta; Magnoliopsida; Poales; Poaceae.